RNAcentral lists this ribosomal RNA (253 nucleotides) under uncultured bacterium. RNAcentral describes it as "partial 16S ribosomal RNA". It matches the Rfam family "Bacterial small subunit ribosomal RNA", at positions 524 to 776 of the family's 1533-position model. The record is from RNAcentral.
UACGAGGACCCCAAGCGUUAUCCGGAAUUACUGGGCGUAAAGCGUGAGCAGCCGGUUUUGCUAGUCUCAUGUCAAAUCUCACUGCUCAACGGUGAGACAGCGUGGGAAACGGCAAUACUAGAGUGGGUAAGAGGUAGACGGAACGUGCAGUGUAGGGGUGAAAUCCAUUGAUAUUGGGAAGAACACCAGUGGCGAAGGCGGCUCACUGGCCCGGUACUGACGCUGAGGCGCGAAAGCGUGGGGAGCAAACAGG